Molecule: long non-coding RNA, 2082 nt
Organism: Coturnix japonica (Japanese quail)
Lineage: Eukaryota; Metazoa; Chordata; Aves; Galliformes; Phasianidae
Product: zinc finger CCCH domain-containing protein 11A-like
Source: Ensembl
GGAGACAGCUGCCCCUUCCGCCACUGUGAAGCGGCUCUGGGGAGCGAACGAGUCUGCAGACUGUGGAUGGAGGGCGGCUGCUCGAGGAGUAACUGCAAGUUCCGUCACAUGAGGAUUGAUGUGAGUGUUUGCCUAAAGAUGUGCUUUCCAGCUUAGUCUACAACACCACUUUUCAUGGCUGUGGUUGGGCUGAAUGCACUUCUGCAGGCUGGAUAUGUUUGCUGUGAAAAUCUUACUGGUUUCUGUUUCUAGAGGAGACUGGGAGGAGGUAAAGAAGGCAGAGGAUUCAGUGCCUUAGGUAUAUCACAGCGGGAGAUGUUUGCAUUAGGAGCCAAAGGCAUUUUCUCCCCAGAUGCAAAAAGCUCUCAUUGCUCAGCCUCCUAAAGCUGCUGGAGCUGGGUGGUAGGAGAGAGCGGCACUGCCCUCCUGCCAGCAGGGCUUGGUUGUGGUCUAUCAGGCCUUUGCUGGCCUGGAUUUCUUCUGAGAAGUUUGUUGGAGCUGCUUGGAGUAGUGAAGGGUGGGGAAGAAGUGCUGCUCAAGAGCUAAGGCUCCACACGAUGGUUUCUGAUGGCUGUUGGAGAGCUGCAUCUCCCUGCAGACCUGAUGUGCCUGUUUCCAUGAACCUUGCUUUCUUUCUCUCUUCAGAGUAAGUGCAGGGUGCUUCCUUGCUUUUGGUGGAUUCAUCCAGGAGGCUGUCAGAAACCACACUGCGCCUUUCGUCACCUGAAGGAACGCGGUGCGCACGGACUGACCGCACCGCUGAGCCACAGUGAGUGUCCGAUGGCAUGAAGCAUGAAGGGCUCAAUUCUGAAUGUCAGUUCUGAGUGGGUGCGGGAUGCACGUCACCAUUCAUUGGGGAGGUGGGGGAGAGUCGUGAUAGUGAAAUAUCAGUCUCUGCUUUGGCUGUCAGAGCAGCACUGGGCUUUUUCUGGAGUGAGGAAGAUGCACUGCAGGUCUGUGCUGACUGCACAGCAUUUGGGCAGCGGAAGGCAAAUGUAACAAACAGUGCUUGAAAAUGUGAAGCUUGUGGUUGACUGUGCUCAAACCUGCCCCCAAAGAGACGCUCAUCAAUCAUUCCUUGUUUCUUUUCUGCCAGAAGUUGACACCAGUGGCCUUCCUCCAAAGAGCGGCCUUGCAAAAAGUCUGGGGAACCAGACAGAGGUUGACAAGGCACCAGAGAGAGUUGACAUCCCAGCUUCCUCCCAUGGCCCGGCUGGACGGAAACGCAAACGGUCGGAGGAGGAGAAGGGAAAAGCGGGGGAAUCGCCCUGCAAGAAAAGAGUUAAAGGUGGGCGCAGGGUCUCUGUGAGGCCCAUUGAUUGGAAAAACACCUUCCCCCCAACGCGGAGACAGAAACGAAAAGCAGCAGAAAUUCAUCCAUCUGCUGCUGAGGACGCGGAUGAGCCCCCAGCUAAAAAACUACCAAUGGAGACUCUUGCUUCAGUCCCGCCUGAACACACCAUGGUCUGCGUCGAAGUCAUAAAGCUUCCAAGCAGUCUGGAGCUGCUCCCAGGAAGCCACGCAGACCCCAUGGCACAGCCAGAGGAAUCCAACACUACAUCAUGUUCCUCACAAGGGGCAGAAAAUUAGCAGCUGAGCUGCACAGGGGCGGGGGAAGCAGCCAUCACUGAAGACAACAACCUUGAGGAGCUUCUGAUGGAGCUCACAGAAGAACUGGAAGGAGAAACUGAUGUGACGUUGAGGAUGUGGAUGUGGAUGAGCUCCUUCUGGACCUGUCCGACAUGACGGCUUAACACCAUCGCCUGAUUGGACAGUUUAAAACAACAACAAUUAAAACCAGCCCUGUUCCUUUCCAGCCCUGCUCCUUUUUGUUGUUACUCUGUGGGUAUUUCUGAGACUCUGCACUGAGUCUUAAAGCCGAGUCAAAGCAGUGACAAUCAGCACUGACUGCAUCCUGUUCUGAUUUCCUUGUGGCUCUGAGUUCAGGUCCUGCACCCGCCGCCAGCUCUGGGUGCUGCUUCAGCAUCGAGGGCACAAAGCUCCUCUGUGGGCACAGAACGGCGUCCAUCCAGGGCUGAAACUGAAACUUCCUCCUUCCUCUGCCGUUCCCCGUCGGCCACA